CCAAUCACAGCUGCUGGAUCAGAUUAGUGCGAGCUCUAAUGCGCGGCGCUCAGACACAAAGACACCCCGCCGGAGCGAGGGGCCUGCUGCCUCCCAGGAGCGUCCUUCCCUCCGGGCCCGCCGGCCCGGCCCUCCGGCCCGGACCCAGGUCCCCACGCGGGCGCCUGGGCCUCGGCCUCUGGCCCCCACGCCGCCAGCAUCCGCUGGCCCGGGGACCUCCCACCCUGGAGACGGGGAGCUGGGAACUCACCCAGUCGCCGACUCACAUCCUAUUUCCCAAGCCACCUUCUUUGCCCUUCGCCCAAAGGGAACUGCAGAUGCCUCGAUAGGACAGUAGAGACCCAGCCUGUAGCCUGUCUCGCGCAGGAGCCGAUCAGGGACCCCGGAAGGAGUGGGGGAAGGUGCAACCGCCCAUGGCCUGGACAGGUGCAAGCUCCCAGGAGGCCCAGCGGGUGACUGGAUUGAACUGGCUACAGGAGAGCAGCCUCCCUCGGGAGAAUGGAGAUAACCACUGGAGUGACCUGGCUGGACUCUGCUCACUGCUGACCAAUCCCAGGCUUUUCCCACCCCCGGCAAGCCCCCCGAUUUCACCCACCUUCCCGAACUGCUCAAAAUAUUGCU
This is a long non-coding RNA of Eptesicus fuscus (big brown bat), 621 nucleotides long. RefSeq lists it as uncharacterized. NCBI's taxonomy places the organism in Eukaryota, Metazoa, Chordata, Mammalia, Chiroptera, Vespertilionidae. The transcript has 3 exons. The record is from RefSeq and is a predicted model, not a curated record.